GGGGAAUUUUCCGCAAUGGGCGAAAGCCUGACGGAGCAAGACCGCGUGGGGGAAGAAGGCUCUUGGGUUGUCAACCCCUUUUCUCAGGGAAGAAGUUCUGACGGUACCUGAGGAAUAAGCAUCGGCUAACUCCGUGCCAGCAGCCGCGGUAAGACGGAGGAUGCAAGCGUUAUCCGGAAUUAUUGGGCGUAAAGCGUCCGUAGGUGGCUUUUCAAGUCGGCGGUCAAAGACCGGGGCUUAACUCCGGAAAGGCCGUGGAAACUGAAAGGCUAGAGAAAGGUAGGGGUAGGGGGAAUUCCCGGUGUAGCGGUGAAAUGCGUAGAGAUCGGGAAGAACACCGGUGGCGAAAGCGCCCUACUGGACCUUAUCUGACACUGAGGGACGAAAGCUAGGGGAGCGAAAGGGAUUAGAUACCCCAGUAGUC
RNAcentral lists this ribosomal RNA (424 nucleotides) under uncultured cyanobacterium. RNAcentral describes it as "bacterial SSU rRNA". It matches the Rfam family "Bacterial small subunit ribosomal RNA", at positions 356 to 795 of the family's 1533-position model. The record is from RNAcentral. Lineage: Bacteria; Bacillati; Cyanobacteriota.